This 441-nucleotide ribosomal RNA is filed under the name uncultured bacterium. Its description in RNAcentral is "partial 16S ribosomal RNA". It matches the Rfam family "Bacterial small subunit ribosomal RNA", at positions 338 to 795 of the family's 1533-position model. The record is from RNAcentral.
CCUACGGGUGGCAGCAGUGAGGAAUAUUGGUCAAUGGGCGCGAGCCUGAACCAGCCAAGUAGCGUGAAGGAUGACUGCCCUACGGGUUGUAAACCUCUGUCCUCUGUGAAGAUAAUGACGGUAGCAGAGGAGGAAGCUCCGGCUAACUACGUGCCAGCAGCCGCGGUAAUACGUAGGGAGCAAGCGUUGUCCGGAUUUACUGGGUGUAAGGGGUGCGUAGGCGGCCCUGCAAGUCAGAAGUGAAAUCCAUGGGCUUAACCCGUGAACUGCUUUUGAAACUGUAGGGCUUGAGUGAAGUAGAGGCAGGCGGAAUUCCCGGUGUAGCGGUGAAAUGCGUAGAGAUCGGGAGGAACACCAGUGGCGAAGGCGGCCUGCUGGGCUUUAACUGACGCUGAAGCACGAAAGCGUGGGUAGCAAACAGGAUUAGAUACCCCUGUAGUC